UAUAGUCAAGUAAUUAAGUGCAUGUGGUGGAUGCCUUGGCAGUCAGAGGCGAAGAAAGACGUAAUAGCCUGCGAUAAGCUUCGGGGAGGCGGCGGAUAUCCUGUGAUC
This 108-nucleotide ribosomal RNA is filed under the name Acinetobacter bereziniae. Its description in RNAcentral is "partial 23S ribosomal RNA". It matches the Rfam family "Bacterial large subunit ribosomal RNA", at positions 1 to 104 of the family's 2925-position model. The record is from RNAcentral. Lineage: Bacteria; Pseudomonadati; Pseudomonadota; Gammaproteobacteria; Moraxellales; Moraxellaceae.